RNAcentral lists this unclassified non-coding RNA (770 nucleotides) under Hevea brasiliensis (rubber tree). Lineage: Eukaryota; Viridiplantae; Streptophyta; Magnoliopsida; Malpighiales; Euphorbiaceae. The record is from RNAcentral.
GGUGGACCUGCUUUUCAGGUUUGUUUCUACAUUUCUUUUCUUUAUUCUGAUUGUUUCACUGGUGACUUUUCGUGUAAACAUUUAUGUAUAUACUUGCAACAGCCUUCCUGGUGAAGGCACAAUAUUCUCUCAGGGUUAAGAGUUAACAGUUAAUGUCUUUCAAGUCAGGUUAUGCCUCAUAAACAUUGCUGUGAAUAUUAACCCAUGAAUGGUAAGAAUAAAGAAUUAGGCUUCACAGUUCACACCUAAAAUGAAAACUGAAUUGUGGAGCGUUACAAAUAUUUGUAGGGUCAAAGUAGCUUAAAACCGUCCUAAUCUCCUAAGGAUUUGGGACUCCUAAAGAAAACUAAAAGAAAUGAUAGCCCUAAACCAAAUGGACUAAAAUUAAGAAUUCAAAAUAAAAAUAAGUUCCUAAAAAGAACAAAACCAGAAGUACCAAAUUAGGUGUCUUCUAAAAAGAUUAAAUUUUGCAAGUUUCCUGCUUAAUUGGCAUCAAAACGAAAAGGCCUAAUUAAGUUCCUAACUAAGUUUCUCAUCAUUAGAUGCACGUUUUUGUUUGUACCUUGCAUAUAGGAAAACUAUAAAGGGCUGCAAAGAUGGAAUGUCAUGCCUGUCACUUGAUGAGAUGAACUAAAUAACCUCGACUUUGAGUUGGAGUCCACCAAAUCAAACAUUAUUUAUGGGGCUGUUUGAGAGUAAGACAAAUAUAUGAAUAUGCAGUACAUUGCCUGCUUUCUUAUUCCUUAUUUUAAAUUAUAUUAUGUCUCAUG